ACUUGGAGCAACUUGAUGAAAACCCUGCUUGAGGAUCUGGUUUGAUGCAUUCUCCUUGGAAGCCUUGGACGUUCCUGGGUUCGCCAAAUAUCCGCUCAUCGAUUGAGGCACCGCCGACGGGGUGCUGCCGUACCCCUCAGCUCCGGGUGUGCUGUCCCCCAAGGCCUCUGGUGUGGAGGGUGCCAGCGUGCAGCGCAGAGUCUCGAGCGUGGCGGCGGGGCGUGAGGAUACAUCCCAGCAUUCUCAUCACUACCAGAGACUCCGUUUUCUGGCCUGUGAAGUUGGGACCAGCCCCGAUGGCCUCGAAGAUUGCACGUGGGCUCAGGUACCACUGGCUGUUGGGGACGAAGGGUGGGGGAGAGAACAGGAGAGGUGCCGGCAGCUGUGCCAGCAGGAACUCCGCAGCCCCAGCCUCAGAUCCGAAUGAGCUCUGUGACCUGGCAAGCAGAGAAGAGGGCUUUUGCACUAAAUUUUAUACUGAAAAUAU
RNAcentral lists this long non-coding RNA (487 nucleotides) under Vulpes vulpes (red fox). RNAcentral describes it as "lncRNA (ENSVVUG00000008472.1)". Lineage: Eukaryota; Metazoa; Chordata; Mammalia; Carnivora; Canidae. The record is from RNAcentral.